GCUUAGGCAUUUAGUGGCGGACGGGUGAGUAACGCGUGAGAAUUUGGCUUCAGGUCGGGGACAACAGUUGGAAACGACUGCUAAUACCGGAUAUGCCGGAAGGUGAAAGAUUUAUUGCCUGAAGAUAAGCUCGCGUCUGAUUAGCUAGUAGGAGGGGUAAAAGCCCACCUAGGCGACGAUCAGUAGCUGGUCUGAGAGGAUGAUCAGCCACACUGGGACUGAGACACGGCCCAGACUCCUACGGGAGGCAGCAGUGGGGAAUUUUCCGCAAUGGGCGAAAGCCUGACGGAGCAAUACCGCGUGAGGGAGGAAGGCUCUUGGGUCGUAAACCUCUUUUCUCAAGGAAGAAGAAAGUGACGGUACUUGAGGAAUAAGCAUCGGCUAACUCCGUGCCAGCAGCCGCGGUAAUACGGAGGAUGCAAGCGUUAUCCGGAAUGAUUGGGCGUAAAGGGUCUGUAGGUGGUACUGAAAGUCUGCUGUUAAAGAAUCACGCUCAACGUGAUCAAAGCAGUGGAAACUACAGAACUAGAGUGCGGUAGGGGCAAAAGGAAUUCCUGGUGUAGCGGUGAAAUGCGUAGAUAUCAGGAAGAACACCGGUGGCGAAAGCGUUUUGCUAGACCGCAACUGACACUGAGGGACGAAAGCUAGGGGAGCGAAUGGGAUUAGAUACCCCAGUAGUCCUAGCCGUAAACGAUGGAUACUAGGCGUGGCUUGUAUCGACCCGAGCCGUGCCGGAGCUAACGCGUUAAGUAUCCCGCCUGGGGAGUACGCACGCAAGUGUGAAACUCAAAGGAAUUGACGGGGGCCCGCACAAGCGGUGGAGUAUGUGGNUUUAAUUCGAUGCAACGCGAAGAACCUUACCAAGACUUGACAUCCUGCGAAUCCUGGUGAAAGCUGGGAGUGCCUUAGGGAGCGCAGAGACAGGUGGUGCAUGGCUGUCGUCAGCUCGUGUCGUGAGAUGUUGGGUUAAGUCCCGCAACGAGCGCAACCCUCGUUUUUAGUUGCCAGCAUUAAGAUGGGCACUCUAGAGAGACUGCCGGUGACAAACCGGAGGAAGGUGAGGAUGACGUCAAGUCAGCAUGCCCCUUACGUCUUGGGCUACACACGUACUACAAUGCUACGGACAAAGGGCAGCUACACAGCGAUGUGAUGCAAAUCUCAGAAACCGUAGCUCAGUUCAGAUCGAAGGCUGCAACUCGCCUUCGUGAAGGAGGAAUCGCUAGUAAUUGCAGGUCAGCAUACUGCAGUGAAUUCGUUCCCGGGCCUUGUACACACCACCCGUCACACCAUGGAAGUUGGUCACGCCCGAAGUCAUCACCCCAACCGAAAGGAGGGGGAUGCCUAAGGUAGGACUGGUGACUGGGGUGAAGUCGUAACAAGGUAGCCGUACCGGAAGGUGU
RNAcentral lists this ribosomal RNA (1400 nucleotides) under uncultured Cylindrospermopsis sp. Its description in RNAcentral is "bacterial SSU rRNA". It matches the Rfam family "Bacterial small subunit ribosomal RNA". The record is from RNAcentral. Lineage: Bacteria; Bacillati; Cyanobacteriota; Cyanophyceae; Nostocales; Aphanizomenonaceae.